This 326-nucleotide ribosomal RNA is filed under the name uncultured bacterium. RNAcentral's name for it is "bacterial SSU rRNA". It matches the Rfam family "Bacterial small subunit ribosomal RNA", at positions 28 to 334 of the family's 1533-position model. The record is from RNAcentral.
GAUGAACGCUGGCGGCGUGCCUAACACAUGCAAGUCGAACGGAGACAUUACACCAAAGCCCUUCGGGGCAGAGGAGUGAUGUACUUAGUGGCGGACGGGUGAGUAACGCGUGGGUAACCUGCCCUGUACUGGGGGAUAACAGCCGGAAACGGCUGCUAAUACCGCAUAAUCCUUAAGGGCCGCAUGGUCCAUAAGGGAAAGCUGCGACGGUACAGGAUGGGCCCGCGUCCGAUUAGUUAGUUGGCGGGGUAAAGGCCCACCAAGACGACGAUCGGUAGCCGGCUUGAGAGAGUGAACGGCCACAUUGGGACUGAGACACGGCCCAA